This 45-nucleotide non-coding RNA is filed under the name Schistosoma margrebowiei. Lineage: Eukaryota; Metazoa; Platyhelminthes; Trematoda; Strigeidida; Schistosomatidae. The record is from RNAcentral.
AUUAAUCUGAAGAGUCCAAAAUAAGGCGAAAUGCGUGUCCUGGAU